RNAcentral lists this ribosomal RNA (305 nucleotides) under uncultured bacterium. RNAcentral describes it as "bacterial SSU rRNA". It matches the Rfam family "Bacterial small subunit ribosomal RNA", at positions 335 to 656 of the family's 1533-position model. The record is from RNAcentral.
GCACCUACGGGAGGCAGCAGUGGGGAAUAUUGCACAAUGGGGGAAACCCUGAUGCAGCGACGCCGCGUGAGUGAAGAAGUAUUUCGGUACGUAAAGCUCUAUCAGCAGGGAAGAAAAAUGACGGUACCUGACUAAGAAGCCCCGGCUAACUACGUGCCAGCAGCCGCGGUAAUACGUAGGGGGCAAGCGUUAUCCGGAUUUACUGGGUGUAAAGGGAGCGUAGACGGCUGUGCAAGUCUGAUGUGAAAACCCGGGGCCCAACCCCGGGAGUGCAUUGGACACUGCCAGGCUGGAGAGUCGGAGGG